UACGUAGGCGGCUUUGUAAGUAAGAGGUGAAAGCCUGGAGCUCAACUCCAGAACUGCCUUUUAGACUGCAUCGCUUGAAUCCAGGAGAGGUGAGUGGAAUUCCGAGUGUAGAGGUGAAAUUCGUAGAUAUUCGGAAGAACACCAGUGGCGAAGGCGGCUCACUGGACUGGUAUUGACGCUGAGGUACGAAAGCGUGGGGAGCAAACA
Molecule: ribosomal RNA, 207 nt
Filed under: uncultured Sphingomonas sp.
Lineage: Bacteria; Pseudomonadati; Pseudomonadota; Alphaproteobacteria; Sphingomonadales; Sphingomonadaceae
Description: partial 16S ribosomal RNA
Rfam family: Bacterial small subunit ribosomal RNA
Source: RNAcentral